GUCAAAGCGUUCAUUAAAGUCGAGUUGGCUUAGGGAUACGUUCGUUGGGUAGGGGAGCGUUCUGUAAGCCUGUGAAGGUGUGUCGUGAGGCAUGCUGGAGGUAUCAGAAGUGCGAAUGCUGACAUAAGUAACGAUAAAGCGGGUGAAAAGCCCGCUCGCCGGAAGACCAAGGGUUCCUGUCCAACGUUAAUCGGGGCAGGGUGAGUCGACCCCUAAGGCGAGGCCGAAAGGCGUAGUCGAUGGGAAACGGGUUAAUAUUCCCGUACUUGGUGUUACUGCGAAGGGGGGACGGAGAAGGCUAUGUUGGCCGGGCGACGGUUGUCCCGGUUUAAGCGUGUAGGUGUGUGUUCCAGGUAAAUCCGGUUCACUUUAACACUGAGGCGUGACGACGAGGCACUACGGUGCU
RNAcentral lists this ribosomal RNA (406 nucleotides) under Salmonella enterica. RNAcentral's name for it is "partial 23S ribosomal RNA". It matches the Rfam family "Bacterial large subunit ribosomal RNA", at positions 1181 to 1586 of the family's 2925-position model. RNAcentral also lists the same sequence under 1 other name. The record is from RNAcentral. Lineage: Bacteria; Pseudomonadati; Pseudomonadota; Gammaproteobacteria; Enterobacterales; Enterobacteriaceae.